RNA transcript from Triticum aestivum (bread wheat), 4701 nucleotides. It is a transcript of the gene named disease resistance protein RGA2, with no coding region annotated. NCBI's taxonomy places the organism in Eukaryota, Viridiplantae, Streptophyta, Magnoliopsida, Poales, Poaceae. The transcript is spliced from 4 exons. The record is from RefSeq and is a predicted model, not a curated record.
UAGCUGAACUCUGUCUUUAGUAAUGUUUUUUUUUCAAGUUCCAGUAAACAAGGCCCAACUGCACAGGGAGAUUAUUUGGAUAAUCUGUCUUGAAAGUCAACUCUUAAAACGGCGACGACGACCUCCACGUUUGUUCACGCGUUUGGGUGCCAUAGCCAACUCAGAUCCCCUUCUCACUCUGCUCUGCCGUUCAUCUGGCUGUUCCCGGUGUCGUUCUCCUCGCCGGCGAGUUGCCGGGGUCAUGCCACCAGCCACAGCCCAGCUACUCCGCGGCCGGCCGGGCGUCCUCCACGGUAGGUACAUCCCCGUAGCGCAGGCAGAUGGCUACUGCGGCUGCGUUUGCCGGGAAGGCGGUGGCGAUUCCUGCCAUCUCCUUCUUGGUUGGAAAGGCUUUCAGCUACCUCGACAAGUACCACAGAUCUGAAGGCAUGGAGGAGCUGAAGAAGCGGCUUGAGCUGGCCAUGCCAAAUAUUGAGGCCGUGUUCGACGCCGUCAACCCAGACCACGUCAGGGAGGAGAGCCCUGCCCUGGACAAAUGUCUGUGGCAGCUCAGGGCCGCCGUCGAGGAUGCUGAGAACGUUGUCGAUGAGCUCGAGUACUAUGAGCUGGAAGAGAAGGCCGAGGAACGUAAGGUUAUUGAUUGGGGCUCUUCUCUUACUAAGAUGAAGCACAAAGUUGUCAGAUCUGUUAAAAAAGUUAGUAGUUUGGACAAGACCUUGAAGAAUUUUUCUCAACGUGACACUCUCAAGAGACUGAGAAAAGUUGUGGAAGGUUUGAACAGAUCUGCUGCAGGCAUAGCCAAUUUCCUCGCUAUCGCAGACCGUCUCAAAAAAUCUGCUUCUGCCAGCCAGCAGCAAGUUGACGCAGAUCGUGAGACAAGCUCUGAAUUGAGUGUAUCUAAAUUUGUUGGGCGAGAAAGGGAGAAGGAGAAGAUCAUUGAAUGGAUAACCAAGACAUCAGUUGUGUCGGCUGAUGGUGUGACAAGAAUCAAUAGUGUACCUAUUAUUUCAGUGGUUGGUCAUGGUGGCAUGGGGAAGACUACUUUGGCUCAGAGCAUAUGUAAAGAAGAUGCAGUGCGGAAUCAUUUCAAGGUCAUCUGGGUCACGGUGUCUACCAACUUUGACGCAACAACGCUGACAAGUAAAAUGCUGGAAUCUGUUACAGGGGUAAAACCAGGUCCUGAUCAUUUGGAACCAUUGCAAAAGAAUCUCAAAGAGGAGCUCAAGUCUAUGAAGUUUUUGUUAGUUUUGGAUGAUGUGUGGGAAGAUAAGAAAGAAUCUGAAUGGGCUAAACUAUUUGCUCCUCUCAGGAGUUUGAACAGCGGAAGCAAAAUUUUGCUGACAACCAGAAUGCAAUCAGUAGUACACACGGCCACAAGCUCAAUGGGAGUUGAAGGAGGUCACUGCUUGACACUACAAGGACUAGAAGAAGAUGAAAAUAUUAAGUUGCUCAAUCACCAUGUAUUUUUCGGGCUGGAUCCGCAAGAUUGUGAACACUUCAAAUCAGCUGGAGAGCAAAUUGCAAGGAAACUAGGAGGAUGCCCCUUGGUAACAAAGGUUGUCGCUGGGCAUUUGAGAGGGAAUAUGAUGAUUGGAUACUGGAACAGGUUCUUGCAUGAAGAACUAAAACAGUUCAGUGGAACCGAAGAGGGUAUCAUGAGGGUUCUCAGAUUAAGCUACUAUAGACUACCAACGGAGCUUCAAAUUUGUUUCCGAUACUGUUGUAUAUUUCCACAGGACUACGAGUUUGAAAAGAAAGAAUUGAUCCAAAUGUGGAUGGGUUCAGGAUUGAUCUCGCAGUGUGCAAGUGAUUCACAAACUUUUGAGGAUAUUGGAGCACAAAUUUUGGUUCAGCUGAAUAAAAGUUCAUUUUUUGAUCUGAAAUCCAGACCGAAUAUUACUAACGGAAGAAAAGAAGAAUACUAUGUAAUGCAUGAUUUGAUGCAUGAUUUAGCAACAGAUGUGUCCUCGGGUGAAUGUGCAAGAGUUGCUCAUGCUUCGUUUUUUGAAGAUGAUAACCGCACUAUCAGACACAUGUGCAUUGCUAAUAUUCACAGCUUUUCUAUUGAAGAGGUCAAAAAAAUCUCCAACUUUAAGUAUUUGCGCACUAUUGUCAUUGAUCAUAGUGAUGCUGAGGUUAAAAAGGAUGUAGUUUGUGAACUUGAAAGAGUUAUUGAAAGCUUGGAGUUCUUGCGUCUCUUGCGGUCAAGACAGAAACAUUAUGAUUGUGGUUUCCACCUCACUGAAAAAUGUGGCAAAUUGAUACACCUUCGCUAUCUCAGUCUGCACCAGAUAUCUCCAGAGGGGAUAUGCGGGGUUACUAGACUGUAUCACUUGAUGCUGUUUUACUGCAAAACUGUUGGGAAUAAAGAAGGAAAAGAAAUGUCACAAAUAAGAUAUUUGGGGAACCUAGAUGGCUUGCGAUAUGUAUCAUAUGGAUUUAAUAAGAACAGCCAUGGUGAAUUUGAUCCUGUGGAAUUCUCGGUUGGCAGACUCACUCGUCUUCAGGAGUUGAAUAACUACCUGGUAAAAGAAAGCAUAGUCAGCAAAUUAAGUGAAGUCAAGAGCUUAAGAACUCUCCGCAGGCUACAAGUAUGCGGGCUUGAGAAAGUCAAGAAUCCGGAAGAAGCUAAGGAUGCCAAGCUGAAUGAAAUUAUUUCUCUCAAUUCUUUGUCACUCAGUUGGUUUGGCGAACAAAACAAUAAGGAUGCGCUAGUUCUUGAACACCUUGAGCCACAUUGUAAUGUUAUGGAAUUGGAAAUUGCUGGAUACACUGGCGUCAAACUUCCAUUUUGGAUUGAGGACCUCACUAUCAAAAACCUGGUGUCACUUGAGUUGCGUGAUUGUUUAAGCUGGGAAGGUCUUCCCUCUCUUGGAAAGCUAGUAUGGCUCAGGCAUAUUAAGUUCCAAAGACUUCUUAAGCUACAACAGAUUGGUCAUUUUUCUAGUAAUACCUCCAUGGAAUUUUUUCUACCUCCAAGGCUUGAAACUCUAGAAGUGCAUGAUUGUCCAAUGUUAAGUGAACUACCUGUUCUACCUCCAAGCUUGGUGCUAUUGAGGAUAUCAAAGGUUGGACUGACCAAACUUCCUAUGAUUGACGGUGGGAGCAGUGAGACUAAGCCAUCACAGUUAGUGAGCAUUGUCGUCGAGAGAUGUGCUCUUCUAACUUUGCUAGAAGGGAGUCUAUUGGAGCAGGAGAUGUACAUGGGAGCUCUCCAGUACUUCAAGAUCGAAAACUGUCGCAAUCUGGAGUCUGGGUCCAUUGCAUUUCAUGGAAUGAAUAGACUUGCAACACUCUGUAUCGCGGAUUGUACCAAGUUUAGCACAAUUGGAACUAUUAAAGGAGAGCUCACUUAUCUCAACCAUCUCCUCAUAAUUGAAUGCUCCGGCCUUGUAUCCCUCCCCUCAGCAGAUGUGUUCAUGAGUUUCAAAUCGCUACGGCAUAUGGUGAUAUAUAGAUGCGAGAAUCUCUUGUGCUUGGGAGGUCUCGGCUCCCUUCCAUCUCUGCAAUACUUACAAAUCGAAUGCUACAGUAAACUUGUGGAGGUUGGGUCGUCCCUGACUCCACAUGCAUCAUCUAGUGGCGAGGAAGAUCAUCUGGUGCAGAUACACAAACUUCAGGUCGAUCUCCCAUCCAUGCUGCUUGUCGAGCCACUCAAGAGACUCCAUCGAACAAUAGAGUUGGUAAUUACACAUGGGCCACAGAUGGAGAGCUUACCUGAGCAAUGGCUGAUACAGAACCGCCAAUUCCUUCGAUGCAUAAGAAUAUCAGAGGCCAAGUCCUUAAAAUCUCUCCCACUAAGCAUCCGGGAACUCUCCUCGCUGGAAGAGCUCUGUAUUAUGCAAUGCCAUUCAGAACUAUUCAAUGAGAUCAGAGAAAACAACAACUUUGAAUCAUACAUGGCACACACCCGUCGAGUGGCAAUAGGGAAUUUUCUUCCCGUUGUAAUCAAUGUUUGCUUUGUUAUCUACUGUUUGUUGCCAUAGCACUUACAAGACAAUCAACUUUUCCUGGCAAAAUUAGAUUCUACUGAAAUCAUGCAUUCAAUGCCAGUUCUGAGUGAGGAGUAUUUGCUACAUUGUGAUUUCUUUGCUCACCUAGGUCCACUUUCUGCAUUAUGUUUAAUAUUGUAAAUUCUACUUGCAUUACUUCAUGCAUGUAUGUAUUUAUUUUCAACCUCGAUGAUGGCCGACUAAAUAACUGUGACAGUACCAUACUCUCAUGUAAGGGGAGGAGGAUGGUUCUCCAUCAUGGGCAAGGAAUGCGACAUAAGGACUUACGAAAGACUAAGGUUUGAGGAUAUCGAUUUACUUACUUCCUGGGGGAACCAACCAAAUGAUGACGAGGGAGAUGAGACUCCCUCGUCAUCAUUUCCUUCAUCAGAGCCAUGGUGGAGGAAAUACCAGUGUUGUUGGAAGAAUGCUUCUUAGCCUACUGUUGCUCGGCGCCAUCUGAAAGGUCUAGUAGCGGGAUUGAUCGCCCAAGAAUGCGGCCUGCAGUAGAUCUGAGCAACGGCGAAGCCAUCCUUCUGAAUAAGUGGAUCGGGACUCUUCUUAUUUUAUCUUCUUUUAUUUACAAGUGAGAAAGGAGAUCUGGACCUUGUGUUGUUUGUGUGUACGAUGCGAACCAAAGUUUGGCGUAUAAAUAACACUGUACUACUCCCUCCGUUUCUAAAUAUAAGCGCUUUUAGAGAUUUGAAUA